Molecule: long non-coding RNA, 788 nt
Filed under: Callithrix jacchus (white-tufted-ear marmoset)
Lineage: Eukaryota; Metazoa; Chordata; Mammalia; Primates; Cebidae
Description: lncRNA (ENSCJAG00000075524.1)
Source: RNAcentral
CUGUACUUCUGGCAGCAGCUCCUCCAAAGCACAUGAUUUCUCUCAUUUUAAAGACUUAACCUUGAUCCACCUUGGGGUGGGGAGAAAAUGGAGAGCAGAGAAGGCAGAGAAAGGAAAGAAGAAAUGCAAGAAUACUGAUGAGGAAUCAUAAACUCUACGUUUCAAGACUGCAAGAAUAGAGGGCCACUAAAAUAAGCCAAAUCAAAGGAAAUGAAGGCCAUUAUAGGUGUUUGGAAGUCUUGUGACCUAAUAUUCUGGAAGCAGGAAGCUUUGCUCCAUUUUGAAACAGCAGUUUUGCCAAGGGAAAUAUGUCUUUAGAAAUCAGGUAUGUUUUCUUGAGUGUUAGAAUACACGACUGUGGCAAAUGAUUAUAGAAAUGCCAUGAUAGUCUUUGGGCUAUUUAAAAAUGUCAUACUACAUGAUUUUUGAAUCAUAAAAGCUUACAAGUGAUACCAGUUCAAAUUGAUCAUUGUGUGACUAAGGUACUUAAGAUAUUCUGAAGCCCACAGGGAUUUUUUUGUGUCUCUACAGGGAAAAUACAGAAAAAUUUAAUGCAUGUGAGAGCAUAAGAGACUUUCAGUUGUUUAUCAUAAGGAUCCCCUGGAAUUUCAAAAAAUGAUGGUCUCAGUCUGAAAAGAUUUUAGAAAACGACAAAGGCAAAACUUAUUUUCCAAAGUUUAACUUGUGUGUUUUCAUCUAAUGCUUUCUGUAUGCUGGUGAUAAAGCCUCUUUAUUCUUUAUCCGUACAUUUAAUGCUGGCCUUGUAGACUUAAAAAGCUGUUAUCCAC